Molecule: ribosomal RNA, 373 nt
Filed under: uncultured bacterium
Lineage: Bacteria
Description: bacterial SSU rRNA
Rfam family: Bacterial small subunit ribosomal RNA
Source: RNAcentral
ACGGAGGGUGCGAGCGUUAAUCGGAAUUACUGGGCGUAAAGGGUGCGUAGGUGGUUUAAUAAGUUAUCUGUGAAAUACCUGGGCUUAACCUGGGCCUGUCAGAUAAUACUGUUGAACUCGAGUAUGGGAGAGGGUAGUGGAAUUUCCGGUGUAGCGGUGAAAUGCGUAGAGAUCGGAAGGAACACCAGUGGCGAAGGCGGCUACCUGGCUUAAUACUGACACUGAGGCACGAAAGCGUGGGGAGCAAACAGGAUUAGAUACCCUGGUAGUCCACGCUGUAAACGAUGUCAACUAGCUGUUGGUUAUUUUAGAAUGAUUAGUGGCGCAGCAAACGCGAUAAGUUGACCGCCUGGGGAGUACGGUCGCAAGAUUA